AUGAAAACUCAGGUUGAGAUGCUGAAACCGGCGAAUUUGGACGCAGCUAUGGACUUAGCAAUCUCCUUUGAGCACCUCAAUACUGUCACCAGCACCGCGACCACUCCGGGCCGGCCCAACCGUCCACUCCGCCCCAUGGCUGCACCUACUCCGUGUUGGAAAUAUGCCCUAGAGACCACAACAUGUCCCUAG
Molecule: ribosomal RNA, 192 nt
Filed under: Triticum aestivum (bread wheat)
Lineage: Eukaryota; Viridiplantae; Streptophyta; Magnoliopsida; Poales; Poaceae
Description: partial small subunit ribosomal RNA
Source: RNAcentral